This 305-nucleotide ribosomal RNA is filed under the name uncultured bacterium. RNAcentral's name for it is "bacterial SSU rRNA". It matches the Rfam family "Bacterial small subunit ribosomal RNA", at positions 333 to 655 of the family's 1533-position model. The record is from RNAcentral.
GGUUUCCUACGGGGGGCAGCAGUGGGGAAUAUUGCACAAUGGGGGAAACCCUGAUGCAGCAACGCCGCGUGAGUGAAGAAGUAUUUCGGUAUGUAAAGCUCUAUCAGCAGGGAAGAAGAUGACGGUACCUGAAUAAGAAGCCCCGGCUAACUACGUGCCAGCAGCCGCGGUAAUACGUAGGGGGCAAGCGUUAUCCGGAUUUACUGGGUGUAAAGGGAGCGUAGACGGCAGGGCAAGUCUGGAGUGAAAGCCCGGGGCCCAACCCCGGGCCUGCUUUGGAAACUGCCAGGCUAGAGUGCUGGAGG